UACCUACGGGACGCAGCAGUGAGGAAUAUUGGUCAAUGGACGAGAGUCUGAACCAGCCAAGUAGCGUGAAGGAUGACUGCCCUAUGGGUUGUAAACUUCUUUUAUAUGGGAAUAAAGUUUUCCACGUGUGGAAUUUUGUAUGUACCAUAUGAAUAAGGAUCGGCUAACUCCGUGCCAGCAGCCGCGGUAAUACGGAGGAUGCGAGCGUUAUCCGGAUUUAUUGGGUUUAAAGGGUGCGUAGGCGGUCCGUUAAGUCAGCGGUAAAAUUGCGGGGCUCAACCCCGUCGAGCCGUUGAAACUGGCAG
RNAcentral lists this ribosomal RNA (305 nucleotides) under uncultured bacterium. RNAcentral describes it as "bacterial SSU rRNA". It matches the Rfam family "Bacterial small subunit ribosomal RNA", at positions 335 to 639 of the family's 1533-position model. The record is from RNAcentral.